RNAcentral lists this ribosomal RNA (471 nucleotides) under Pseudomonas sp. PC4. Its description in RNAcentral is "bacterial SSU rRNA". It matches the Rfam family "Bacterial small subunit ribosomal RNA", at positions 8 to 475 of the family's 1533-position model. Lineage: Bacteria; Pseudomonadati; Pseudomonadota; Gammaproteobacteria; Pseudomonadales; Pseudomonadaceae. The record is from RNAcentral.
AGAGUUUGAUCAUGGCUCAGAUUGAACGCUGGCGGCAGGCCUAACACAUGCAAGUCGAGCGGUAGAGAGAAGCUUGCUUCUCUUGAGAGCGGCGGACGGGUGAGUAAUGCCUAGGAAUCUGCCUGGUAGUGGGGAUAACGUUCGGAAACGGACGCUAAUACCGCAUACGUCCUACGGGAGAAAGCAGGGGACCUUCGGGCCUUGCGCUAUCAGAUGAGCCUAGGUCGGAUUAGCUAGUUGGUGGGGUAAUGGCUCACCAAGGCGACGAUCCGUAACUGGUCUGAGAGGAUGAUCAGUCACACUGGAACUGAGACACGGUCCAGACUCCUACGGGAGGCAGCAGUGGGGAAUAUUGGACAAUGGGCGAAAGCCUGAUCCAGCCAUGCCGCGUGUGUGAAGAAGGUCUUCGGAUUGUAAAGCACUUUAAGUUGGGAGGAAGGGUUGUAGAUUAAUACUCUGCAAUUUUGACGU